This is a non-coding RNA of Pelobates cultripes (western spadefoot toad), 529 nucleotides long. Lineage: Eukaryota; Metazoa; Chordata; Amphibia; Anura; Pelobatidae. The record is from the annotation of a GenBank genome assembly.
CCCGAGUUCAAAUCAAGUCUGGCACUUAAGUUAGCAAAAGGAACUACCUCUCCUCCUUGCCAAAUAUAUCUAUAGAUUCCUCCCAGUUUUAAGUUUUGAAAAUUAUGCUCUCCCAUUCCUGGGCCAAAUUGUCUGUUCCGAAAAAGGAGUAGAAUAAAGAGCUCAAAUUAUGGCAAUGAUAGAUUCAGGAAAACCCCAAGACUGCAAUAGAUAAAAUAAAUAUGGCCAGGCAACCCUAUCAAAUACCUUCUCUGUGUCAAGUGAUAGGAGCAUCGAUGGCAGCCUCUUUGUCUCUAUAAGCCAUGCAAGAUCUACGGCUCUACAAGUAUUCUCAUAUAGCUACCUUCCAGGAAUAAAACCUACCUGGUCUGGGUGAAUCAAAAUGGGGAGCAGAGGAGAUAGGCGUAAAGCUAAGACCUUUGCUACUAUUUUUGUGUCCACAUUUAUUAGGGAAAUGGGUCUAUAAUUCCCAACUGCCGUAGAAUCUUUAUCCUUUUUCGGUAGGAGAAUGAUUUUAGCCAUAGUCAGG